RNAcentral lists this transfer RNA (65 nucleotides) under Orientocreadium sp. HS. Its description in RNAcentral is "tRNA-Gly". The record is from RNAcentral. Lineage: Eukaryota; Metazoa; Platyhelminthes; Trematoda; Plagiorchiida; Orientocreadiidae.
GUAAUAGUAGUAUAAGACAAGUAUGCUGUCUUUCCAAGUCAGAGGUCCAUGUGUUGGCUGUUACA